UCUGCAGAGCAGGAUUCCUGUCUUCUCUCAUUCUUAUCUCAUACAUUGCCAUGACAUCUUCCAUGACUCUUGAUUUGACCGAGCUGAGAAAUAAAAUUUCAAAGAUCAAGGUGAAUCCGAGGGGGAAUCUGUGGGCGACAGUGGAAGACCUGCUCAUUCAGAUGCUGAAAACUGCCAAACACACACAACGGAAACAGGCACUGGACAUAGGAGGAGGGGAUUCUGCUUGAGGAACAUUUCAACCAACAUUUUAACGAUAUGAAAUCCUGCUGAUGAAGAGGACAAUUUUAAUUUAAUUUCUUAAUAAAAAGCUCUCAUAAAUAUGUUUUUUGUUUUAUUAAUGUGAUAUAUUUCAUUGUAUAUGACAUUGUGAUGUCAGUAUGUACUCAUUUGUUCAUGGCUGGAGUCAUUUGAGCCUAUUUAUGUAUCAGUGCCUCCUGUUAAUAAACUUAUACCCA
Epinephelus moara (kelp grouper) is the source of this 458-nucleotide long non-coding RNA. RefSeq lists it as uncharacterized. Lineage: Eukaryota; Metazoa; Chordata; Actinopteri; Perciformes; Serranidae. The record is from RefSeq and is a predicted model, not a curated record. The transcript is spliced from 3 exons.